Molecule: ribosomal RNA, 497 nt
Filed under: uncultured bacterium
Lineage: Bacteria
Description: partial 16S ribosomal RNA
Rfam family: Bacterial small subunit ribosomal RNA
Source: RNAcentral
GAUGAACGCUGGCGGCGUGCCUAAUACAUGCAAGUCGAGCGAACGGACGAGAAGCUUGCUUUUCUGAUGUUAGCGGCGGACGGGUGAGUAACACGUGGAUAACCUACCUAUAAGACUGGGAUAACUUCGGGAAACCGGAGCUAAUACCGGAUAAUAUUUUGAACCGCAUGGUUCAAAAGUGAAAGACGGUCUUGCUGUCACUUAUAGAUGGAUCCGCGCUGCAUUAGCUAGUUGGUAAGGUAACGGCUUACCAAGGCAACGAUGCAUAGCCGACCUGAGAGGUUGAUCGGCCACACUGGAACUGAGACACGGUCCAGACUCCUACGGGAGGCAGCAGUAGGGAAUCUUCAGCAAUGGGCGAAAGCCUGACGGAGCAACGCCGCGUGAGUGAUGAAGGUCUUCGGAUCGUAAAACUCUGUUAUUAGGGAAGAACAUAUGUGUAAGUAACUGUGCACAUCUUGACGGUACCUAAUCAGAAAGCCACGGCUAACUACGUG